GAGCAAUCCAAGAGCGGCAGGCCGUUGAGCCGAUCCUAGCCGUUCGCUCAUUCCUAGCUUGCCCUCUCCUUGCAGGGUUUUCCAAGCCACUUCAAUGUUGAAACUGAAAAUUUCAAUCACGUUAAAUGUAUGCUGAAGGCUGCACGGGAGAAUUCAAGUAUGAAAAGCCAGUUCAAUACAAAAAGUUUUGUUUUCAAAAUCGUAUAACUAUUUUUCAAUAUCGGUAUAACCCAAGUAGAAAAAUCGAGCAGUUUUUUUCAUUUUUCUAAUGACACACAACCGAUUUCAGCUUAACGGGGGGUCCAGAUUGCACGCACACAAGCGCAAAUGAACACGAUGACACGCACACAUUGAGACUCGCUGUCAGUUCGUUCUGAUGGCUUGAAAACAGGCAAAAAGUUGGGUUAUGUGUGGAUUGUAAACAUUCUGUUCGUUCAAUUCACACAAGCUUGUGCCUCAACAUCAUCAUCUCUGCCGCGCCACCGCCUACUUGCAGUAUAUCUGUUACUUUCUUCGCUUGUUGUACUGUGAAUGAGAGAAGGAGACAUAUUAUUCAGGAAAAUGGAUUUCAACAAUAAUGUUGAGGAAAAACUAGGCGACACCAUCCCAGUCAAACCGUCGAGAAAAAAACUUGAAGCAGCAAUUUCAACCGGAUCAGCUCUACUGAAAAAUGAAAAGUGCCCUACUUAUCCAUUCCAGAAUCAUCAAAAUUCCCUACCUCCUGCCGUGCCACCACGAUCCUCCUCAUUGCCCCGACCAAAUCCUCAAUUAAUCUUAAAAACGAACAUGGCCUCACCAAUUCCUUUUCCCAUCGCACCCCCUCGAACCACAUCCUUGUCCACGCAAAGCUUUAUGGUGCAAUCCAUUUCCUUUCGAGCCAUAAGCACUCCCGCUUCCGAUCCGAAUAAUACUUUCAAAUUAAACUCGCCCACCAUACCACCACGAUCCUCUUCCUAAAUGAUGCCAAAUUCUAGUCCAGUUCAGAAUAUCACGUUUCUUCCAAAAGUUGCGGUUAACACCGAAAGUGCAUCGCAUCCUCCUACCUUACCACCACGAUCUUGUUCUGUGUCCCUUUCUGAGCCCAACAUAAAACUCAAUCCAACUGAAAAUUUAACACAGUUGGAUCGUAUUGAAAAACAGUUGAAUAUUCUGUCCAAAGUAGCUUGUCACACACAAUUUGUGACGAACUUAGUUUUAGACAAUCUCUGCAACAAAGACGCAAAUUCGGAAAGGAAUCCGCUAAUCAAAAAAAUGGAAACUCUUGACAUGUUAGAAGAAAUGGAGAGAAAAUUGAAACAUGAAAGUUUAUACAUGGCAAAGACGAUUUGCCUUUUGUUAAGUGCAUUAAAAGGGACCGACAAUGUCCAAGAAAGACUAUCGAUAACACUCGAUUUGUUAUUCGAUCACGAUUUUUUUUCCAAGUUUAGUUGGACAGGUGUUGGGUUUUCGGAAGCCAAGAUGCCAUUAGAAAAAUACGUCUGUAUUAUAAGUUUAUUUAAAUUCGUAGGAGGCACUAGCUUUAUAGAUGACACAGCUACGGUUUCACACGAAACAGUGAAGACUUUUCUAGUUGAUAAGCUAAAUCACGGAAAAGCACGAAGUUUAGUGAAAGGGUUGCGACAUACGGUGAAACGUAAAAAAGAAUUAUAGAAAAGAAUUAUGUAUAUAUGUAUAAGUUAAGUAUAUAUAUAAGUGUUUUAUUGAAUUAAUGAUUUAGGCAUUUAUACAGUUGAAAUAUGAGCUGUGAUUAAAGUUGUGAUAUGAACUAUGUAGGAGUAAACGUUUAUGAAUUUAAUGGGUAAAAAUUAUAUAUGAAAUACCAACAAUCUGUUCUAGUUCUUAAGGCAUUUCCUCCUUGCAUUUUGCCUUAUCCCGGGCAUACUCGGCAACUUUAUUCUACUCAUUUUAAUACAAAACUAAUAAAAAAAUAAAUUAAUAAAAA
Long non-coding RNA from Anopheles gambiae (African malaria mosquito), 1942 nucleotides. RefSeq lists it as uncharacterized. Lineage: Eukaryota; Metazoa; Arthropoda; Insecta; Diptera; Culicidae. The transcript is spliced from 2 exons. The record is from RefSeq and is a predicted model, not a curated record.